CAGCGUGUAGUGCUGGUAGCGUAUUUCGUUCGGGACGAAAGGGUCGGGAGUUCGAAUCUCUCUACGCCGACCA
Molecule: transfer RNA, 73 nt
Filed under: Endozoicomonas sp.
Lineage: Bacteria; Pseudomonadati; Pseudomonadota; Gammaproteobacteria; Oceanospirillales; Endozoicomonadaceae
Description: tRNA-Pro
Rfam family: tRNA
About the family: Transfer RNA (tRNA) molecules are approximately 80 nucleotides in length. Their secondary structure includes four short double-helical elements and three loops (D, anti-codon, and T loops).
Source: RNAcentral